CAAGGAUCUCUCAAAGAUGCUGGAACAAACACAAUCCACACCCAUCAAACUCUCCACCUCCCAUGAUAUAGCGCCACGUGUCACCCCAUUUUUCCAUCAAACUCUCAACUCUUAUGGGGUUUAAGACUAUCUUUGCCUAUUUAUAGGCAAUCUUUGCCGACAUCACCAAGAAGUCCACCGACUUGGUUUAUUUUACUCCAGCCACAAGUGUGUGGCUUCAUCUAGAAUAUUCUAUAUUGUACAAUAUUAUUUUUGUGGCUAUUGUUUAGCCAUCAUGCUCCACCGCCUUGUUCUUUUCUCCACCCACAAGUGUGUGGCUUCAUCUAGAAUAUUCUUUGCAUAUUUUUGUGUGUGUUGCCGACAUUCCAUCAUCUAGUUUGUAGUUUCUUGAGUUUUCUAGAACUGUGUAGUUACAUCUACACAAAUAUGCAUUGCUUUUUCAACAUCCAUGUAUAUAUGUGUGUAAUCUUCAGCUUGGAUGAGUUAAAACAUAAAUAAAAAGGAAAAUUCACUAUUAUACUUAA
Molecule: long non-coding RNA, 524 nt
Organism: Prunus dulcis (almond)
Lineage: Eukaryota; Viridiplantae; Streptophyta; Magnoliopsida; Rosales; Rosaceae
Exons: 2
Source: RefSeq, a predicted model, not a curated record